ACGACCUUACUUGAACAGGAUCUGUUCUAUAGGCUCGUACCGCUGCAUCCUUUACCAAUAAGGAGGCAAGCACUUCAGUCUGGUUGAUGCAUUCUAACCUCUGGGCCAGAGCGUGAUUAACGGCCUGGAUGAAUCCUGAUGGGAUCAAUCCAAUGGUUGUAGAGGAUCGUUCCUGCCUGGUUCACUUGUGCAGGGCGGCCUAGAGGUUGUCUGACAGACU
RNAcentral lists this small nucleolar RNA (220 nucleotides) under Triticum urartu. RNAcentral's name for it is "Plant small nucleolar RNA U3". It matches the Rfam family "Plant small nucleolar RNA U3". From Rfam's summary of the family: Small nucleolar RNAs (snoRNAs) are involved in the processing and modification of rRNA in the nucleolus. Lineage: Eukaryota; Viridiplantae; Streptophyta; Magnoliopsida; Poales; Poaceae. The record is from Rfam by way of RNAcentral.